Molecule: ribosomal RNA, 325 nt
Filed under: uncultured eukaryote
Lineage: Eukaryota
Description: partial 18S ribosomal RNA
Rfam family: Eukaryotic small subunit ribosomal RNA
Source: RNAcentral
CCCUUAGAUGUCCUGGGCCGCACGCGCGCUACACUGAUGCAUUCAACGAGUUUUACCUUGGCCGAGAGGCCUGGGCAAUCUUUUAAACCUGCAUCGUGAUAGGGAUAGAUUAUUGCAAUUAUUAAUCUUGAACGAGGAAUUCCUAGUAAACGCAAAUCAUCAAUUUGCAUUGAUUACGUCCCUGCCCUUUGUACACACCGCCCGUCGCACCUACCGAUUGAAUGGUCCGGUGAAGCCUCGGGAUUGUGGCCAGUUCACUUUAUUGGGAGUUGGCUGUGAGAACUUGUCUAAACCUUAUCAUUUAGAGGAAGGUGAANUCGUAACA